Scylla paramamosain (green mud crab) is the source of this 807-nucleotide long non-coding RNA. RefSeq lists it as uncharacterized. NCBI's taxonomy places the organism in Eukaryota, Metazoa, Arthropoda, Malacostraca, Decapoda, Portunidae. The record is from RefSeq and is a predicted model, not a curated record. The transcript has 2 exons.
CUCAGGGUGGGUGGUGGUGGUGGUGGUGGUGAAGGGUUGAGAAUGGUGGCUGACUCUUGCAGUGGCGAAGCAGGCAGGUGCAGCAAGCCGGCAGGCCUACACGUGGCAGGUGCAGCAAGCCGGCAGGCCUACACGUGGCAGGCCCUGCACAAGACACGCCUGCCUGCCUGUCUCUGCCUGCCGGCCCUGUCCGUGCACCUGGCAGCCUUCCUCCACAGCUCCCUGAUGACUCCCCACUCACCCACCACUGACAGCCUUCUUGCUGACGCUGCUCCAUUCACCCACCACUCUCUUCCACACACACACUUCCUUCCUGUCUCUUUCCUCAGCCUCAAUUUUUGAAGCCCCAGUCUGCCACCUGUCGUUCUGCCCACCAGUCCCCAGUGCACUGGCUGCGUCCCCCUCGCCGUGACCCCUGUGCCACUGAAGACUUGUGUCAGGGCCCUCUUCACCUCCAACCCCUCCCCCACCCCUCAGAGUGUCAGCAGGGCAGCCUCAGUGUGUUGUGGUGGGCAGCAGCAGCAGCAGCAGCAGCAGCAGCAGCACUCAUCCCUUCAUCCUUGUGGUCACUCUCCCUGUGCUGGCCGUACCACCCCAGGCUGCAGCCCUCCCCACUGACCUCUCACCUUCCUGGCUGACCUCACCUCUGACCACUGCCAAAUACAACUUUUUCUCCUUGAUAUUCUGUUAUUUUAGUGUGUGUGUGUGUGUGUGUGUGUGUGUGUGUGUGUGUGUGUGUGUGUGUGUGUGUGUGUGUGUGUUUGUUUGUUUGUUUGUUUGUUUAUUCAGCUUUAUUUUAUUGAACUA